CAAGCACUUUUGAACUAAGGGUUAACCCCAUUUCAAUCGGACCUUCAAAUGUUGGCUUAAAAUGUGAAGUGGCUUUUAAAUGGAAAUCCUCUAAAACAUUAGGCCUUGUUUUAUAAUUUUCCAUCAUAAUUCUAGUAUGUUGUGGCACUAAUGUAGCUUUAAACUGCCUAUUAUUAACAUCAGCCACAAUAGUCUUUUCGAUUGGGCUUGAAACGCCAAGGUCCACUAAAUGUUUAUCACCAUCUGGUCCAGAAAGGGAGGGGACCAUUACGUUUGCAUCAUUUGUCUGUUUCCAAGCUGCGCCUUUACCAGUUGUUGCCCCCAAGCUACCAAUUAGGCCCAAAACAGCUCCAGCCUCAUAAGACAAUGCAACUACUAUAGGCAUAACCCCCAAAAACUCAGCCUGCUUUUUAAACCCACUCAUGCUGCCACAACCCAGCUCGUCUACACUCUCUUUAACCUUUUUCGACCCAACAGACCUUCUCUUUUCAAAUUAGCAUGUUCCCGUUCAAAACCUUUUAAGGAAAUUUCCUUUCCUGAAUUUAACCCCCGAAAAAUCAGCUCCCAAAACAUUCCCUUCCCCUUUUUCAUUAACCCCAAAAAUAAUGCCCUAAAUCUAAACCACCUUCAUCACUAAUCGGAUUUUUAGCCGCCGUUUUACAAUUUUCAUUCAGAUUCCGAGGAGGACGCCUUUCAAUAACCAUCCAAGGGCCAAACUCAGUUGUGUUUUCUGCCGUAACACCUAAUGCUGAUUCAACCACUUUUGACCCCUCAUUAACUCCGGUAAAAUCUUUAUCGUCAGACGAGAACGAGUAAAGCUCCUUAACAUGGCCGUACCUUCUAUAAGAGAAGCAAAUAGACUAAAACCGGGAAGUCCUGGCAGUCGGAUCCAUGCCAUAGCAACCGACGGGAAGAGUUGGAAUGGAUUAAAAUCCAAUGUCCACAUUUGAACCAUAAGAUAUUGGCCGAAGAGAAUCCAAGGUCCUUGGGUGAGCACUCUCUCAUAAUCUUCUUUCCUCUGAAAUUUUAUACGAAAAAAUACCCAUUCUCCACAGCCAUAAGUUGAAAUGGUUUUGAGGGUCGCCAUAGACUCGAGACCCUAUUUUGCAGAGUAGCAUAACCAGUGCUUCGACCCCAAAACUUCACCAGUAUCGUGGUUUUCAUAUCCUUUUAACAGGUAUUGCUGAACCCGAUCUGAGAAAGCAACCGCGGGAAACUUAGUGAAAUGUUCCACCAUCUUCCCCUGGUUCCUUCGCAGGCUCAACGGAUUUACGCAAUAGCAUAUCUUUCCAUGACACAGUAGAGGCCGGUCUAUUGACAUUUCUACGCUAUCCACUCCUUUGUCUUUGAAACGGACUUUUCUAGUGUUGCGGCUAUCUGUCGAACACUCAUUGUUGUCCUCAAUAUUACUGGAAGUUGACAUCAGAGAACUUUUUUAAAAACACGUAUAUUUUAGUUAUUGUAGUAACUUUUAAUUAUUAAUUUAAUUUUUAUAAUUUAUUGGCA
Molecule: long non-coding RNA, 1506 nt
Organism: Gossypium arboreum
Lineage: Eukaryota; Viridiplantae; Streptophyta; Magnoliopsida; Malvales; Malvaceae
Exons: 2
Source: RefSeq, a predicted model, not a curated record